CCUCGGGUGGAGUAUGUCACUCAAGCAUGUGGCGUCUUUUGGCGCUGUUGGUGUCUUAUCGGUAGUCGGCGUACUUGGAGGAACGCGAUGGCGCCGCGUCGAGCUGCGCCGCGCGGAGCUAAACGAGGAGUACACGAAGCUCAUGACUGAAAUGCGUACCUUCAACGAGGAGCGUCUCACCCGCGAUGGGCGCCUGGCCGCCAAGGAGGUGGAGGCGAAGGCGACGGCGGAGACGGUGGACAUAUUAUGGAGCGAUCGGCUGGCGCGUUAUGCGGAGGUGAACAAGGACCUGCAUGCCUACCUGGCCGCCUUGCCUGAGGCGAUUGGAGCACUGAAGGGUCUGUCGAACCACUAUCGCUACAUGUCGGAGGAGAUGCCCAAGUUCAUGGGGUUCGACAUCGCGUGCUCCAAGAUGCACAACCUGGCACUGAUGCUGGAGCACGGCAAGGCGGUAGGCAUUGAGCGAGUGGCGGCGGCGGUGCAGGAGAUGUUUGCCGCGGAGCCGCUUGUGCAGACGGUGUGCACGAGCAUCUUGGCAGCCCCGGCUCCGCCGCAUCCCAGUUCGAUCGCUGCGGCCAGCGCCACCUUCACGUUCUGCAUGGAAGAGCUCGACCGCGCCGUGGGGAAGGUUGCUAUGCGGUAUGCGGCAGCACUGGAAGAGCCCCCAAAUGCCACGCCUGGCAUCUUGUCAGACAGUGUCCGGAAGCUUGUCGGCAUGACGCGAGCAGACACGCUCAGCAAGGGGCAGCGCCAGCUUGCGGAGCGCCGAAGGGACUUGGAACGGAUGCUUCGCCGUGCCCAGCGCCAGCUGCACACCGAGGAGGACAUUCGGGCAGCGCUGGAUUACACGAGGGAGCUGGAUCAGCAUCUUCAGGCGGCGGCACCGAAAAGAACCGACUUGUUGCUUUCAUUGCCUUCUAGGAAGGAUAACUUUCUGGCCGCCGUGCGGUCGGACAGUGAGGUGAAAAAGGCCAUCCAGCAGAUCAACCUGUGGCGUGACUCGGCAACCACUUUCCUGGUGCACCGCCAGGCCGAGGACGCGCUGCAGUGCUACUACUUACUCCUGGCCGAGACGCUUACAGCAGUGAAUGAGUUGAAGUAGUGAAAGGGCGGGCAGCCUAACAAAGGCGAUGGAUCACACGCAGGAGAAAGGACGGCGCAUCACCUAAGCCACACAGCAGCGAGCGCAUGCUGAGGGAGGGAGAGACCGAUACGCACAUAGGCCACCCUCGCUGACCACACUGCGACUGUGGCUCUUGCGCUGCGCACGAGUGUAACGCCCAAGAACGGAGCGAUGAUGGUGAGAGUUGGUCGAAUGCAUCGAUUUUUUUUUGGGGGAGGGGGGCAGCGGGCGCACAGAAACCACAAAGCGGAGCGGUGGAUAGAAGCAGCAGCCGUCGACCGCGUCGAGCUUUUUGGCUCGCAUCGGCUGCUGCCCUACGCACGCUUCUCUCGGGGCGACCAACUUCCUCUCGCCUCCUCUCCUACCAGGUCUGAGUUGCCUGAACGGUUUGCCCGCUAUUUUUGCCCGGGUCGCGCUGGCUUUCCUUCUCGACUUAUCCUUUUUUUGUGUUCGAUCGUACUACGUGCCGGAUGAUAAAAAGAGGGGGAGAGGGGAUGCGCACCUCUGAGUAUGACAUCGCAGGGUCCAGCCCCCCAUCGCCCUGUGUGGAGACGCCAAGCAGUCGCCCCCCUCCCCCUAUUCCUGCCCAUGCCGAGCCACUUGUGGGUGGUAGCAGGGCCAAGCACCGACGACGACGCCGGGGAGGCCAGGGCGAUGCACCGCUACUUGUGCCCAGCGGUUAGACCCUGGACGGCGUGGCGUCGGAGCGACCUGCGACAGUGAACACACCCGUGCCAUCCAUGCGAUAGGCCGCGUGCCAGCGCGACUCGGACGCAUGUCACCCUCGGCCUUCGCACCGCCUACUGGUGCGGGGAGAGCCCGCGUGUCACACCCCGAGGGGGUGGGGGGGGUGGGGAAUGCGCCAGGGGUGGCGACCCGCGAGGCGGGGGUUUGUGAGCGGGUAGCGUGUGAGGCCCAGGCCCUGCUCAGGUAACUGAGUCGGCGCGGUGCUGCAACUCGCGUGUGUGUGCGGCCGCUUCGCACGACGCGGAUGGUGGGGGGCCCGUGACGGGCUCUUGUGGUGGAGCGGCGCUCCGCUCAUGCUGUAGGGCAGCGCGUGGAUGCGGUAAGGAGGAGAACACCGACUUGAUGCUGAUUGUCAUUUGCAUAGUCGCGUACAGGGAUGCGCAGUC
RNAcentral lists this unclassified non-coding RNA (2256 nucleotides) under Leishmania donovani. RNAcentral's name for it is "gene:LdHU3.07.1520(CDS-product:hypothetical_prote in_conserved)". The record is from RNAcentral. Lineage: Eukaryota; Euglenozoa; Kinetoplastea; Trypanosomatida; Trypanosomatidae.